Mesocricetus auratus (golden hamster) is the source of this 69-nucleotide small nuclear RNA. Lineage: Eukaryota; Metazoa; Chordata; Mammalia; Rodentia; Cricetidae. The record is from Ensembl.
UUGCUCCCUUUGGCAGCAUAUAUAAUAAAACUGGAAUGAUACAGACAAGAUUAACAUGGCCCCUGUGCA